AAUAAAAUCAUAAUCCCUUAUAUAAGGAGCCAGACAGCAUGGCGAGUACCACAAUGGGCGUGAAACU
RNAcentral lists this small RNA (67 nucleotides) under Yersinia massiliensis. RNAcentral's name for it is "PutA 5' UTR thermometer". It matches the Rfam family "PutA 5' UTR thermometer". From Rfam's summary of the family: Position upstream of pepN gene responsible for amino acid processing. The record is from RNAcentral. Lineage: Bacteria; Pseudomonadati; Pseudomonadota; Gammaproteobacteria; Enterobacterales; Yersiniaceae.